Molecule: ribosomal RNA, 359 nt
Filed under: uncultured bacterium
Lineage: Bacteria
Description: bacterial SSU rRNA
Rfam family: Bacterial small subunit ribosomal RNA
Source: RNAcentral
CGGGAUAGUGGCGGACGGGUGAGUAACACGUGGGAACGUGCCUUUUGGUUCGGAACAACUCAGGGAAACUUGAGCUAAUACCGAAUGUGCCCUCGGGGAAAGAUUUAUCGCCAUUAGAGCGGCCCGCGUCUGAUUAGCUAGUUGGUGAGGUAAUGGCUCACCAAGGCGACGAUCAGUAGCUGGUCUGAGAGGAUGAUCAGCCACACUGGGACUGAGACACAGGCCCAGACUCCUACGGGAGGCAGCAGUGGGGAAUCUUGCGCAAUGGGCGAAAGCCUGNNCAGCCAUGCCGCGUGAAUGAUGAAGGUCUUAGGAUUGUAAAAUUCUUUCACCGGGGACGAUAAUGACGGUACCCGGAG